RNAcentral lists this RNase P RNA (370 nucleotides) under Deltaproteobacteria bacterium. RNAcentral's name for it is "RNase P RNA component class A". It matches the Rfam family "Bacterial RNase P class A". Rfam says of the family: Ribonuclease P (RNase P) is a ubiquitous endoribonuclease, found in archaea, bacteria and eukarya as well as chloroplasts and mitochondria. Its best characterised activity is the generation of mature 5'-ends of tRNAs by cleaving the 5'-leader elements of precursor-tRNAs. Cellular RNase Ps are ribonucleoproteins. The record is from RNAcentral. Lineage: Bacteria; Pseudomonadati; Myxococcota; Myxococcia.
GGAGUAGGCCAGGUGAUCGCUGGCCGCCCGUUCUGGGCGGCGAGAGGAAAGUCCGAGCUCCGCAGGGCAGGGUGCUGGGUAACGCCCAGUGGGGGUAACCCCAAGGAAAGUGCCACAGAGAAUAGACCGCCGGGACGAGUUCUUUGUCUCGGUAAGGGUGAAACGGUGAGGUAAGAGCUCACCAGUUCCGAUGGUGACAUCGGAAGCUAGGUAAACCCCACCCGGAGCAAGACCAAAUAGGAGGGCGCUUGAGGGUAGCCCGCCCGAAGCUCUCGGGUAGGUCGCUGGAGGCCGCAGGCAACUGUGGUCCUAGAGGAAUGAUCACCACCGGUUAUCCGGGACAGAACUCGGCUUAUGGCCUGCUCCGAUA